RNAcentral lists this non-coding RNA (99 nucleotides) under Lysinibacillus xylanilyticus. RNAcentral describes it as "Guanine sequence". It matches the Rfam family "Purine riboswitch aptamer". From Rfam's summary of the family: Riboswitches are metabolite binding domains within certain messenger RNAs that serve as precision sensors for their corresponding targets. Allosteric rearrangement of mRNA structure is mediated by ligand binding, and this results in modulation of gene expression. The record is from RNAcentral. Lineage: Bacteria; Bacillati; Bacillota; Bacilli; Caryophanales; Bacillaceae.
AUAAAUGAAUUCAAUAAUAUUCGUAUAACCCCAAUAAUAUGGUUUGGGGGUCUCUACCAGGAACCGAAAUUCCUGAUUACGAAGAAAGUACAAUACUUG